Molecule: long non-coding RNA, 286 nt
Filed under: Brassica napus (rape)
Lineage: Eukaryota; Viridiplantae; Streptophyta; Magnoliopsida; Brassicales; Brassicaceae
Description: long non-coding RNA (BNAP_LNC003058)
Source: RNAcentral
UGAUUGGGGACAAGUCCAUCUUAGAAGCUUCGUGGAUGCUGUUUUGGACCUAUACUGUGUGUAUGGAAAUAUUGCAACUGGGAUAUGUAUAUUAAUGCAUCUAUAAGUCAAAGUUAUUUUAUAGCUUAUCCUUCUUAGUGGAUCAGCUCAACCUCUCAAUAGAUUUGUAUGUAAAUAUUUAGGUCGAACUAUAUAUAGGAUGUACAUAUAUAUGAGUGUAUCUAAAUAUGCAUGACCAUAAGCACAAACUAUCUUUUCAUGUCACAUGGGUUCCAUUUAUGGUAAC